AUCUCCUGCCUCCAAACCUACCGCCCAGGGCCGAGGGCCAGAAUGAGGAGGCCAGGUGGGCAGCAGUGGGCUGCCCUGCCUGGCUGGCCCUUGGGCCCGCUCAGAGCCUCCUUGUGUCCUGUCGGCUGGCAGCCUGAGUGGCCAGGCCGGCACAGGCUCUUACCAAAUAAGGCCUGGGCAGCGGGCCUGGGCAGGCUCACAUGCGGGCAGCCGGGCUGUGGCGGUGGCCUGCCUGUCCGUCCCUCCACCCUGGGCUGUCCGCCCAGCCAGCUGACCCUAUGAGCUUUCGCCCUCAGGAGGCUCCAAGGCAGCCCCAGCCGCGGGACAGCCCAGACCUCCCCGUGUCCCCUGGAGAGGAGCCUCCACUUAGAUGCUUUGGAAUGUCCAUCUGCAUCUCUGAGAGGGCGACUGGAGAGAGACCCCAAGGACCCCCAGGGACCCCGUGCAGCUGGGAGCCCCAGGCUGAGUCAGAAGGUCCCCUUCGCUGCUCCCCUGCCCCACCCAGAGGUUUGGGUGUGACCCGUGGCCAGCCCCUUCCCUGGGCCUGGUGAUUGAGGUCAAAGGUCAAGGUUGGCCAAGGGCUUGGAUAGGGCCAGGGUCUCAAGGGCAAACUGAGGGCUCAGGCAGAGACCUACCCCCACCCCAUGCCUGGAGGGAGGGACGAGGGAGGGUGUGACAUGGCUGAUGAGGGGCCUGCCUCAUUAGCUCACGUGGCCCCAGGGAGCCAUCUUGCAGUGUGGUGGGAGGGGGACAAGUGUCAGGAGUUGCUUCGGAGCAAGGUGCCCGUUGCCCUCUGGCAUCUGACAAGUAGCUGUGCUCUUGCAGCCUCAGUCUGACCACCCUUCAGACGGUCCACCGCUCGCUGUCUCCAGGUGGCUGCGGGGACCGAGGGGGCCGGGUACGUGGGGCCCCGGGGGCUGCCUGAGUGUCGGUCCAGACCCUGGGGUCCUGCUCUUCCUGGAGCUGGAGAGGGGGGCUCCGCCUGAUCCUGGGGCUGCCCCAUUCCGCAUCCUCUGGGUCCUGGGUCCUGGGUGACGGCGAGGUCCCUGCCACUCCUGGAGCAGACUGUGUGGGGCAGCCGUCAGCUCUCGCCUGUGUGUGCAUGACGGUGUGUGAAGGAGUGUGUGACUGUCUGGGUGUGCCCAUGUGUGACUACGAGUGUGUGGGGGUGCGUGCCCCUGUGUGUGUG
RNAcentral lists this long non-coding RNA (1189 nucleotides) under Marmota monax (woodchuck). Lineage: Eukaryota; Metazoa; Chordata; Mammalia; Rodentia; Sciuridae. The record is from RNAcentral.